Long non-coding RNA from Catharus ustulatus (Swainson's thrush), 452 nucleotides. RefSeq lists it as uncharacterized. The transcript is spliced from 4 exons. The record is from RefSeq and is a predicted model, not a curated record. Lineage: Eukaryota; Metazoa; Chordata; Aves; Passeriformes; Turdidae.
GAAUCAUUCUGCUCUCCCCUGGCUGGGACCCUGGCUGUCAGUCAGCCCUCCACCAGCACUGUGGAGGACUAUGCUGGAUCAUCUGUGGCUUUUCUGAUCACAGUAUCACAGUGACUUUAUCGCCGUCACCUCCUCAUUGUGAACCAGCCCAUCCCUUGGAGGCAGAGUGCUAUUGUGGAGGUGGACGAGAUGGCUCCAGGAAACAGCACCACAAAGUCAGCAGCAUGAAGUGGAUGAUGAUGUGGUGACAUUUCCUGAAAGUCUUCUGCUGCUGGUAUUUUGUGAAGGGUCUUGACAGUGUGAUGGCAUCCCACAGCUCCUUGAACAUCUUCAGAGACUACCACACCUUCAAGCUGAUGAGAGAACAGAAAUUUUAUUAACUCAAAAAACAGUGUGUGGAGUCAGUGUUAAGUGGCUGUAGAUGCCUUGCCUUUGGUUGUAAUCUCUUUUAG